AAGUUGAAUCAAAGAAGGUAAUAAUCCUGUAGUCGAAAAUAUAUACUCUCUUGAGUGGAUCCUGAGUACGACGGAGCACGUGAAAUUCCGUCGGAAUCUGGGAGGACCAUCUCCUCAGGCUAAAUACUCUCUAGUGACCGAUAGUGAACCAGUACCGUGAGGGAAAGGUGAAAAGUACCCCGGAAGGGGAGUGAAAGAGA
This 200-nucleotide ribosomal RNA is filed under the name Staphylococcus warneri. RNAcentral's name for it is "partial 23S ribosomal RNA". It matches the Rfam family "Bacterial large subunit ribosomal RNA", at positions 347 to 547 of the family's 2925-position model. The record is from RNAcentral. Lineage: Bacteria; Bacillati; Bacillota; Bacilli; Caryophanales; Staphylococcaceae.